This 700-nucleotide long non-coding RNA is filed under the name Brassica napus (rape). Its description in RNAcentral is "long non-coding RNA (BNAP_LNC008049)". Lineage: Eukaryota; Viridiplantae; Streptophyta; Magnoliopsida; Brassicales; Brassicaceae. The record is from RNAcentral.
CCUUGUCUCUAUACGGCAAUGAAGGCCAAGAAUCGUCAUUGUGAUUGACGCACCUCUCUCAUGUUUGCCUUCAGAGACACGGCACAAUCCACCGCCAAAAGAAAAGAGAGAGUUUUAAAGCUUCUUGCCAUCAUUUUUUGCCCUAAGAGACAAAGAUGUUGCAGAAACCACCAAACUACUUCUUUUUAUUUUCUAAAUUUGGAGGGUCCCUUGACCACAAAGUAUAAAUCCGAAAAUGAAACAGCAUUAAAAGCGUAAAAAGAGCAAACCUUGUAAUCUAGCAAUCAGCCUCUUGUUCAGUUUCACGUGGUUUCUUCAUAAUUAAGCCGUAAGCAUGACGAACAUAACAAUGAAUUGCAGCACUUUUCUUUCUAUACUGACUACUGAGUACGUUAUUUUUUGUAUGUAUAUAUGUACUAAUGUACACAUCUCUGAUGAAAACCUGAAUACGCUAGAUUAUCAUUUUACUUAGAUUAAUUAGCAUCGUCUUCUUAAACAUGAUAUUAACAAAAGAUAUAUAUAGUACGACACUCAAAUGAUAUUUAUCUUUUUAUUAUUAGUUAGACAUAGAGUUAAAAAGUAUAACAUUGAAUUUAACGGUAUAGACACUCAAAGCAAAAAAUUCUGAUGGAACAUGUAAAGUAGGAUUCUCUUUACUAUACACUCAGAGCUCGAAUCACUAAUCUUAACCAUGAUUUGU